Molecule: ribosomal RNA, 497 nt
Filed under: uncultured bacterium
Lineage: Bacteria
Description: partial 16S ribosomal RNA
Rfam family: Bacterial small subunit ribosomal RNA
Source: RNAcentral
GAUGAACGCUGGCGGCGUGCCUAACACAUGCAAGUCGAGCGAACGAACGAGACUCUUGCUUCUCUGAUGUUGCCGGCGGGCGGGUGAGUAACACGUGGAUUACCUCCCUAUCAGACUGGGAUAACGUCGGCAAACCGUAGCUAAUACCGGAUACUAUUUUGAUCCGCUUGGUUCAAAAGUGAAGGACGGUCUUGCUGUCACUUAUGGAUGGAUCCGCGCUGCAUUAGCUAGUUGGUAAGGUAACGGCUUACCAAGGCAACGAUGCAUAGCCGACCUGAGAGGAGGAUCGGCCACACUGGAACUGAGACACGGUCCAGACUCCUACGGGAGGCAGCAGUAGGGAAUCUUGCGCAAUGGGCGAAAGCCUGACGGAGCAACGCCGCGUGAGUGAUGAAGGUCUUCGGAUUGUAAAACUCUGUUAGUAGGGAAGAACAUAUGUGUGAGUAACUGUGCACAUCUUGACGGUACCUAAUCAGGAAGCCACGGCUAACUACGUG